RNAcentral lists this ribosomal RNA (579 nucleotides) under uncultured cyanobacterium. RNAcentral's name for it is "bacterial SSU rRNA". It matches the Rfam family "Bacterial small subunit ribosomal RNA", at positions 152 to 761 of the family's 1533-position model. The record is from RNAcentral. Lineage: Bacteria; Bacillati; Cyanobacteriota.
GGAAACGACUGCUAAUACCCCAUAUGCCUACGGGUGAAACGGUGAAUUCCGCCUGAAGAUGAACUCGCGUCAGAUUAGCUAGUUGGUGGGGUAAGGGCCUACCAAGGCGACGAUCUGUAGCUGGUCUGAGAGGAUGAUCAGCCACACUGGGACUGAGACACGGCCCAGACUCCUACGGGAGGCAGCAGUGGGGAAUUUUCCGCAAUGGGCGAAAGCCUGACGGAGCAACGCCGCGUGCGGGAUGACGGCCUGUGGGUUGUAAACCGCUUUUCUCAGGGAAGAAGAUCUGACGGUACCUGAGGAAUCAGCAUCGGCUAACUCCGUGCCAGCAGCCGCGGUAAUACGGAGGAUGCAAGCGUUAUCCGGAAUUAUUGGGCGUAAAGCGUCCGCAGGCGGCUUAUCAAGUCUGCUGUUAAAUGUCGGGGCUCAACUCCGAUUUGGCAGUGGAAACUGAUAGGCUAGAGUACGGUAGGGGUAGAGGGAAUUCCCAGUGUAGCGGUGAAAUGCGUAGAUAUUGGGAAGAACACCAGUGGCGAAGGCGCUUUACUGGGCCAUAACUGACGCCGAUGGACGAAAGCU